RNAcentral lists this ribosomal RNA (270 nucleotides) under uncultured archaeon. Its description in RNAcentral is "partial 16S ribosomal RNA". It matches the Rfam family "Archaeal small subunit ribosomal RNA", at positions 477 to 747 of the family's 1478-position model. The record is from RNAcentral.
CAGCACCUCAAGUGGUCAGGAUGAUUAUUGGGCCUAAAGCAUCCGUAGCCGGCGCUGUAAGUUUUCGGUUAAAUCUGUACGCUUAACGUACAGGCUGCCGGGAAUACUGCAGCGCUAGGGAGUGGGAGAGGUAGACGGUACUCGGUAGGAAGGGGUAAAAUCCUUUGAUCUAUUGAUGACCACCUGUGGCGAAGGCGGUCUACCAGAACACGUCCGACGGUGAGGGAUGAAAGCUGGGGGAGCAAACCGGAUUAGAUACCCGGGUAGUCC